ACUCGCUGGGCUUUAGGGGAAAAAAUAGCACGGCAGCCUCUCCUUCCUGGGACGACACGGCACCGCCGCCAUGAAUCCCGCCGCCACGCGCGGCCGGUCUACCUCUCCAGCUACCCUCAAGCAGCGCCGCUGUUGCCCAGUUCUUCCCCUCCUCACCCGCCCCAACUCCUCACCCCUAGCCUCCUUCGCCUCAAGGCGGACGUCUCUGAUUUGGAUAUGAUUCCAUGGCGUGUUCACGCCGCCACGCGCAGUCGGUCUUCCUCUCCAGCUACCCUCCAGCAGUGUCAUCGUUGCCCUGUUCUUCCCCUCCUCCCCCGCCCCAACUCCUAACCCCCAGCCUCCUCCGCCUCAGAGACGGACGACUCCGAUUUGGAGCUCAAGUACUGCCUCCCCCGCACCUCCAUCCCCAUAUUUGGAUUGGGGUGCAACAGAGAUGAGGAAGGACAAAGCACGAACAGCUCAAGUGAGAGUGAACGGAUAUGAGCACACAACCCUCUCAGGUGACGUUGGCUGAUCAGGAUACCCAAUUCUCAAACAAACAACCUGAGAUGCUCUAGAUAUGGAAGUUCACCGCCAAGCUCGACCAACAAGUUUUUUGGUUCAUGUUCAAUGGGAGGUGAAGAGUGUUGAGCAGGUAUUGAUGCAGGUCCAAGGUAAACUCUAUUUUUCUUCUUUUAUUGUGUUUAUUAGAUGAACAUGUCAAAGGUGCAGAUGGACAUGAUGAAGCCGUGAAUUGUCACGCAGGUCAUUGAGCUUCUUGGGUUUGACACAGCUCACCCUCGUCUACGAAACGAAAAAUCUCGGCAUGCCUAAAUAAAAGGGGUCGUGGGUUGCGAAUCAAAAAAACCCGGUUAGUAUAAAUAAAGGAAAUUAUGGGCUCUGAAGCGAAAAAUUCUAGUUGACAUAAAUAAAGGGGAUUGUGGGCUACGAAACGAAUAUCUCAAUUGAGCAGGAUUGUUGUAUGCUAAAUGAAAAAUAAAAGCGACUGGUCUGUGAAACGAAAAAUAAGCAAAGGCCUCCCAGUUGGCAUAAAUAAACGGGCACUGGUUGAACAACUUCAGUAUUUUAUACUAAUGCUAUUUUCAUUUAAAGGCUGAAUUUUGUCACCCCGUUGCAACGCACGAGCAUAUGUCCUAGAAUAUAUUUGGAAGGCAGAGUUCGUGAAAACAAAUGUCAGUCCUUUUUUCUUCUGAAAAGCUCUCUUCAUUCUUUUUCACGUCUAUUCUUAUUGCUUGAGAAUUGUUGCGGUCCGUACCAUGUAUCCACCGUUUCCUAAGGAGAGUGUUCCUAUGCUAAAAACUGUUGUUUUGUCCUCAUAGAUUUUUGUUCUAUGGGAUUUGUGCGGUCUAAAUAGUACUGUAUUUAGUUUUAUGAAAGGAUGCAAAAGCAAUACUAGGGCUUCCAGUGUAUACUGAUUGCUAAAGGAUGCAAUAGUAUUUGUGUAGUGGGGAAGUGUCAUUCCCUCUGUUUACCAAUUGGCCUCCCCCUCUUAAGAGAUCUAACCCUUGUUACCAUAAGGAAAAAGCAAAGACUAUUAUGACACCAUAAAGUUUGAAUUCAGAGAAGUAUAUGCUGAAGAACACCAGAAUUAGUCUUCAUGAACCAUCAUCGCCUUGUUGAUGAUGCUUCACAUAUAAGUUUUCUGGUCCUUUACAAGGUCUUCUAAUUAUUCAGAAGCGAUGUCAAAUGGUACGUACCAUUUUUAAUUUUAAUUUUCUUGAAUUGUUAAGUUGAGAACGGAUGCUUGCAUUUCCAUUUGGGAAAAAGAGAGGAGAAAGUGAUGGAUUGGAGCUUUCACGGAACAUUAUUACUGUCUAGAAAAUUCAUGGCAAUAGGGCCAAUGGUUGAACAUAUAAAUCUUUUUGAAGUAAAUUCUUUUGUAACUCUCAGUCUCAGUACUACCUUGUCGAUUGAUACUUAGUGGACCAGAGGGAAAAAUCCAAAGCAAAGCCCUACACAUGCAGCCCCUGCCCAAAAGGAGCAACUGCAUUUUGUCUACAAUGCAUGUUUGACUGAAAUUCCUGUUUCUAUUUUUUGCAGAGCGCUCACAAAUUAAACAAUCUAUGAAAUCGCUAGAAGGGACUGGAUAUCCUACUUGGUAUGUGGUUUUAGAAGCAACUUAGGUUCCAGCUUGCUGUGAAUUUUAUGAUUUAUCACUGUUAUACUGUUAACUACUUAACUUGAUACUGAAACAUUGGAACCAUAGUAUUUGAAGUGGAAUUCUGAGCAGGCUUCAACAAUUCAGUAAAGGCCUAUGAAACAUCUAUGAUUUCACUAGAGAGUGGAUUUGCACUCGAGGAGCAACUCGAGCAGCUUUGCGCACAUGCCUAAACCUACUUUCAUAUGCUCAUUGAGCUUAUUUUCAUGUAAACGCACAUGUACAUUCUCGGCAAAAACAAAGAAAGUGUGGUGUGCUCGACCUUCUCCCAGUCCAACCUUGACCUGGAAGCAUGUCAAACAAAAACACCAAACUUUACACCAGCAUCAAGCCCCUAGAAAUAGUCUAUCACCUGUAUCUUUGCGUAUCACUGAGAUGGAGCCAGAAGACAGUUUUUUUUAUCAGUUUAGGUGUUAACUCCUUGUGACAGGUACAUGUGAGUAUCAUUGUUGUGUAGAGAGAAAAAUAUUCAGAUUAGAAAACAUUUAGCUUAAGGUGUAACUGGUAACCAA
Molecule: long non-coding RNA, 2670 nt
Organism: Triticum dicoccoides
Lineage: Eukaryota; Viridiplantae; Streptophyta; Magnoliopsida; Poales; Poaceae
Exons: 4
Source: RefSeq, a predicted model, not a curated record